Molecule: ribosomal RNA, 312 nt
Filed under: Triticum aestivum (bread wheat)
Lineage: Eukaryota; Viridiplantae; Streptophyta; Magnoliopsida; Poales; Poaceae
Description: partial small subunit ribosomal RNA
Source: RNAcentral
AUGUGGGAGGUCAGCAGGCAGCGCGGCGGCGCAGGCGAUCCAGCUAUGCAGGUUGGCCGUGCCGUGCUGUGGAGAGGAGGGGCACCACCCGUGCUUGGCUGGCCUAGGGAGGAGGCAGCAAGGCGGCGGGCGCGAGCGGCGGCUAAAGAUGGUUGUAGAAGAUGCUGCGGCAUGCGGGGAACAGUCGUGGCAGCGGCGAGGCGGUCGGCGCCAUGGGCGAGCGGCUCAGGCGAGCUCGUUAAGUUUAGAGAAGCCAGCAGCGGGACGGAUGGGGCAGAGCUCGAGCUUAGUGUAUGGCCAUUGUCUUGGUAG